Molecule: long non-coding RNA, 894 nt
Organism: Ziziphus jujuba (common jujube)
Lineage: Eukaryota; Viridiplantae; Streptophyta; Magnoliopsida; Rosales; Rhamnaceae
Exons: 2
Source: RefSeq, a predicted model, not a curated record
UUUCUUUUAUUUUAUUUUUAAAAGUUAUUAAACAAACACGUAAAACACGAACCAAAGUUCAAACUAGCCAUUCUGUCCAAACAGAAAGAAAACAUUUCAAUGUUGAAUUUUUACCAUACAUAUGACACUGAAGUGAGAUUCUAUCACCAUAACUGAUUCACUGACAGAGAUUGGAAAAGAAAAAGCGAGCGUGGGAAGCAUUAAGAGAGGCUUUUUUGAGUAUUAGAUAAGAGAACAAAGCAACAGAAGCUUUUCCUCCUCCUCUCCCCUGUUUUUCACUCUGCAGUAUUUACAUUAUUUGUGAUUUGUGUUUAGGUCAAAGUUUUUCACCUGUUUGCAAAUUAUAUAAUUCAACGUAGUUAACACAACCAGCUGCUGCUAAACCCCCCAUCCAGAAUGCAGCGUCGUCAACAACACCCAGCAGCCGCUAAACCACCCAAUUUAGGAUCAGCAGGCCUGCAGCUCACAGGCUAAAAGUGCCAGGCCAUCAAGCUGCAGUCCACCAUGCCGUGGUUCAUAAGCCAACGCGUCAAGCAGCAGCCCAUGAGGCAGCUUGACGUGAGGUCGCACGUCAAACAGCAGCAGAACGUGCAGGACCAAGGCCAAGGGUUCAUCAAAAAGCAAGAGCAGGACGUGAGCUAGGGGCAGAAGCAGAGGCAGAGAAAGUUUGACUUGCCAGCAGAUUAGAGGAGGAGGCAACGUACUAUGCAGUAGCCCGUCAUGAUAGGAAAUUUUUAGAAAAUGCGAGGUAGGCUGUUCGUGCUGGAAAUGUGAUAGUGCAUGCUGCGACUGUGGAGUCUUGAUCAGCCUGCUGCAUCAUGUGGAAUCAUUUUAAUUCCAAUUAGUUUGAAGGUUUCUUUUAUGGACAUUGUGAUUUACAAUAUAUAUUUCUAC